ACCUGUCUGACAUGUCGGGACCCGUGCCAAGCAGGGCCAGAGUUUACACAGAUGUUAAUACACACAGACCUCGAGAAUACUGGGAUUACGAGUCACAUGUGGUGGAAUGGGGAAAUCAAGAUGACUACCAGCUGGUUCGAAAAUUAGGCCGAGGUAAAUACAGUGAAGUAUUUGAAGCCAUCAACAUCACAAAUAAUGAAAAAGUUGUUGUUAAAAUUCUCAAGGUGAGUACAAGAGAUAAUUUCAGAGGUAUUUGGAAUAUAGAUUUUUAAAAAUAGUUUUGAAGACUUUUUUAAAACAGCAUUUAAAAGGUUUUUGGUGCCAAAGCAAAUAAAUAAAAUUUUAUUGUAUCCUAUGAACUCAAUAGAACAAGUUCUGCUUAUUUGACAGAUCAGGAAACUGAAGCAAGAGAAGUGAUUUGAGUUGACUCAUAUAGCUAGGUUGUGGCAGAGUGAGGGAGCAAAGGUACAGUCUCUUCUCUCCCAGUUCUUGCCUAAUACUUAUUUCCUUUACUUUUCAUUAUAUAAUGAGGCUUUUGUUUUCAAUAAAUAAAUCAUU
RNAcentral lists this small RNA (558 nucleotides) under Pongo abelii (Sumatran orangutan). RNAcentral describes it as "retained intron". Lineage: Eukaryota; Metazoa; Chordata; Mammalia; Primates; Hominidae. The record is from RNAcentral.